AGUUGGUGGAGUGAUUUGUCUGGUUAAUUCCGUUAACGAACGAGACCUUAACCUGCUAAAUAGUUACGCAAGCAUUCCAACCGCCCGUCAUUCGGGGGCAACCUUGGGUGGCGGGUGGGAAGCGCUUUGCGGUGAACUUCUUAGAGGGACUAUUCGUAUUCAACGAAUGGAAGCUUGAGGCAAUAACAGG
This 190-nucleotide ribosomal RNA is filed under the name uncultured eukaryote. Its description in RNAcentral is "partial small subunit ribosomal RNA". It matches the Rfam family "Eukaryotic small subunit ribosomal RNA", at positions 1296 to 1460 of the family's 1831-position model. The record is from RNAcentral.